AGUGAACGCUGGCGGUAGGCCUAACACAUGCAAGUCGAACGGCAGCACAGUAAGAGCUUGCUCUUACGGGUGGCGAGUGGCGGACGGGUGAGGAAUACAUCGGAAUCUACUUUUUCGUGGGGGAUCACGUAGGGAAACUUACGCUAAUACCGCAUACGACCUACGGGUGAAAGCAGGGGAUCUUCGGACCUUGCGCGACUGAAUGAGCCGAUGUCGGUUUAGCUAGUUGGCGGGGUAAAGGCCCACCAAGGCGACGAUCCGUAGCUGGUCUGAGAGGAUGAUCAGCGACACUGGAACUGAGACACGGUCCAGACUCCUACGGGAGGCAGCAGUGGGGACUAUUGGACAAUGGGCGCAUGCCUGAUCCAGCCAUACCGCGUGGGUGAAGAAGGCCUUCGGGUUGUAAAGCCCUUUUGUUGGGAAAGAAAAGCAGCAGGUUAAGACCCCGCUGUUCUGACGGUACCCAAAGAAUAAGCACCGGCUAACUUCGUG
Molecule: ribosomal RNA, 492 nt
Filed under: uncultured bacterium
Lineage: Bacteria
Description: partial 16S ribosomal RNA
Rfam family: Bacterial small subunit ribosomal RNA
Source: RNAcentral